CCUACGGGUGGCAGCAGUGGGGAAUAUUGCGCAAUGGGCGAAAGAGUGACGCAGCGACGCCGCGUGAAUGAUGAAGGCCUUCGGGGCGUAAAGUUCUUUCGACAGGGAAGAAAAUGCCUAUAAGUAACUGUGUAUGUAUUGACGGUACCUGUAUAAGCAGCCCCGGCUAACUCCGUGCCAGCAGCCGCGGUAAUACGGGGGGGGCGAGCGUUGUUUGGAGUGACUGGGCGUAAAGAGGACGUAGGCGGUGUUGAAAGUCAUUAGUCAAAGACUAGAGCUCAACUUUAGUAAGGCUAGUGAUACUAUAAUACUAGAGUAUCAGAGAGGAUUGCAGAAUUCCUGGUGUAGCGG
This 351-nucleotide ribosomal RNA is filed under the name uncultured bacterium. RNAcentral's name for it is "partial 16S ribosomal RNA". It matches the Rfam family "Bacterial small subunit ribosomal RNA", at positions 338 to 681 of the family's 1533-position model. The record is from RNAcentral.